Molecule: unclassified non-coding RNA, 348 nt
Filed under: soil metagenome
Description: partial contains 5.8S ribosomal RNA, internal transcribed spacer 2, and large subunit ribosomal RNA
Rfam family: 5.8S ribosomal RNA (bases 1-120)
Source: RNAcentral
GAUGAAGAACGCAGCGAAAUGCGAUAAGUAAUGUGAAUUGCAGAAUUCAGUGAAUCAUCGAAUCUUUGAACGCACAUUGCGCCCGCCAGUAUUCUGGCGGGCAUGCCUGUCUGAGCGUCAUUUCAACCCUCAUGCCCCUAGGGCGUGGUGUUGGGGAUCGGCCAAAGCCCGCGAGGGACGGCCGGCCCCUAACUCUAGUGGCGGACCCGUCGUGGCCUCCUCUGCGAAGUAGUGAUAUUCCGCAUCGGAGAGCGAUGAGCCCCUGCCGUUAAACCCCCAACUUUCCAAGGUUGACCUCAGAUCAGGUAGGAAUACCCGCUGAACUUAAGCAUAUCAAUAAGCGGAGGA